UACAGAGGUCCCAAGCGUUGUUCGGAUUCACUGGGCGUAAAGGGUGCGUAGGCGGUCGGGUAAGUCUGAUGUGAAAUCUCGGAGCUCAACUCCGAAACUGCAUUGGAUACUAUUCGGCUUGAGGUCUGGAGGGGGGACUGGAAUUCUUGGUGUAGCAGUGAAAUGCGUAGAUAUCAAGAGGAACACCAGUGGCGAAGGCGAGUCCCUGGACAACUUCUGACGCUGAGGCACGAAAGCUAGGGGAGCAAACAGG
Molecule: ribosomal RNA, 253 nt
Filed under: uncultured bacterium
Lineage: Bacteria
Description: partial 16S ribosomal RNA
Rfam family: Bacterial small subunit ribosomal RNA
Source: RNAcentral